GGCGUGCCUAACACAUGCAAGUCGAACGGAGAAUAUACGCUUCAGAAGCUUCGGCAGAUGAUUGUAUAUUCUUAGUGGCGGACGGGUGAGUAACGCGUGGGCAACCUGCCUCAUACUGGGGGAUAACAGCUGGAAACGACUGUUAAUACCGCAUAAGCGCACAGUGUCGCAUGACACAGUGUGAAAAACUCCGGUGGUAUGAGAUGGGCCCGCGUCAGAUUAGCCAGUUGGCGGGGUAACGGCCCACCAAAGCGACGAUCUGUAGCCGGCCUGAGAGGGCGGACGGCCACAUUGGGACUGAGACACGGCCCAAACUCCUACGGGAGGCAGCAGUGGGGGAUAUUGCACAAUGGAGGAAACUCUGAUGCAGCGACGCCGCGUGAGUGAAGAAGUAUUUCGGUAUGUAAAGCUCUAUCAGCAGGGAAGAAAGGCUCGUAAGAGAGAUGACGGUACCUGACUAAGAAGCCCCGGCUAACUACGUGCCAGCAGCCGCGGUAAUACGUAGGGGGCAAGCGUUAUCCGGAUUUACUGGGUGUAAAGGGAGCGCAGACGGAUUUGCA
Molecule: ribosomal RNA, 560 nt
Filed under: uncultured rumen bacterium
Lineage: Bacteria
Description: bacterial SSU rRNA
Rfam family: Bacterial small subunit ribosomal RNA
Source: RNAcentral